RNAcentral lists this ribosomal RNA (495 nucleotides) under uncultured bacterium. RNAcentral's name for it is "partial 16S ribosomal RNA". It matches the Rfam family "Bacterial small subunit ribosomal RNA", at positions 28 to 507 of the family's 1533-position model. The record is from RNAcentral.
GAUGAACGCUGGCGGCGUGCCUAAUACAUGCAAGUAGAACGCUGAAGGAGGAGCUUGCUCUUCUGGAUGAGUUGCGAACGGGUGAGUAACGCGUAGGUAACCUGCCUGGUAGCGGGGGAUAACUAUUGGAAACGAUAGCUAAUACCGCAUGACAACAGUUAUUGCAUGAUAACUGUUUAAAAGGGGCAACUGCUCCACUACCAGAUGGACCUGCGUUGUAUUAGCUAGUUGGUGAGGUAACGGCUCACCAAGGCGACGAUACAUAGCCGACCUGAGAGGGGGAUCGGCCACACUGGGAAUGAGACACGGCCCAGAAGCCUACGGGAGGCAGCAGUAGGGAAUCUUCGGCAAUGGACGGAAGUCUGACCGAGCAACGCCGCGUGAGUGAAGAAGGUUUUCGGAUCGUAAAGCUCUGUUGUAAGAGAAGAACGAGUGUGAGAGUGGAAAGUUCACACUGUGACGGUAUCUUACCAGAAAGGGACGGCUAACUACGUG